GCAGCCAUCGACGUGAAUUGCAGCUGUUGCUCCACUGCAGUCUGCUGCAGCUCGCCAUGGACCAAGCACUGCUUGGCUGCAGUCACAACGCACGUGAGAAUGCCAUUAGCAUUUAAUCCUAAUUACCUUACGUGGACCCAAGUUUGAGAUGGAUCCAGCAGUUCAGCCAUGCGUUUGCCUGGGCUUUUUGGGUGAUCCAGCAGGCUAGACGGUAGAGGAAGAUAGCCAGCAGAAGAAAGAAUCUCUGCCACAGUAUUGCAGGUUGGUCAUUAUUUAUUAUAUGUUUAGAAAAACAGACUGAGUCGUACCAGCUGAUUGAGACUUCAGGGAGCAGUGUAGUGAUUGACUUGGUAGCAAUCUUUAUUCCUCGCAGCAGCCAUCUGUACUGGGAGGAACCAGUACCCUCAGGUAAUGCUGCCAAUCAAGAUACUGAUGUUUUAAAAAGUGGAAGUGAUCAGGUGGAACAUUUUUAAGGGUAUUUUAAGUCCAGGCUGUUAGCCAUAUGCCAAGGCGAGUUACUACACUUCACCGUCAGAGACUCAUCUUCAUUUUGGAUACACUAUUCUCUUUUCAUUUCCUCUUUCAAGAAUUAUUCUAAAUAUUUCUAAGAAUUGUCGCAUUCCACCCCAUGUAAGACCUUUGUAAACUCUAAGGCUCAUGUAACCUUCAUUCCUCAGGUCAGCAGCAAGGCAGGAAAGCCAGCAGGAAAACCACCUUCCUAGGUGCCACUUGGGCUGGAUCAGUGGGAUAAGGAGGUGCCCCCCAGGGGUCAGAGCCAAGCUGGAAGGAGCAGCCUGAGCAGGAGCUGGGAGCAGGGCAGUGGGCUGGAGGAGUGGUGCCUGCCCAUGCUGCUGAGUAGGAAAUCCACCCACAGAGUAUUAUGUGAUUACCCGUCACUCUUUGUGGACCUGGGGCUUGGCAUUGCCAACAGAGAAACUACAGCACAGUUCAACAGCAAGGUACGAGACAGAAAUGCAGUGUACGAGACUUCUCUAGACAGAUUUGGGCAAAGCGUGACCCUACAUGAAGACAGAAAAGAAGGAAGGUGGCAGAAGAUGGAGGAAAAAAUCCUACAGAACAGCAGAAAGGGAGAUUUGGAGGAAACAGCAGAUUUACAGAGACCUAUUUCUACGAGUGUGUCUCAGCGACUGUUGUGUUUUCCAUGGGAACCGAGAAAUACCAGCUGGGUGAUUACCUGCUUUGGAGCUGUUGCAGUAGGAAAAUUGCACGGAGCUCUUUGUGAGAUGCAACAUCAAGGCAAGGAGCUACAAUAA
RNAcentral lists this long non-coding RNA (1274 nucleotides) under Anser cygnoides (Swan goose). RNAcentral's name for it is "lncRNA (ENSACDG00005015277.1)". Lineage: Eukaryota; Metazoa; Chordata; Aves; Anseriformes; Anatidae. The record is from RNAcentral.